This is a non-coding RNA of Balearica regulorum gibbericeps (East African grey crowned-crane), 838 nucleotides long. The record is from RefSeq and is a predicted model, not a curated record. NCBI's taxonomy places the organism in Eukaryota, Metazoa, Chordata, Aves, Gruiformes, Gruidae.
GCAGAUCACGGCACGCAUCCUGGAAGCCCACCAGAACGUCGCUCAGAUGAGUCUCAUCGAGGCGAAGAUGCGGUUUAUUCAAGCCUGGCAGUCGCUGCCGGAGUUCGGCAUCACGCAUUUCAUUGCAAGGUUCCAGGGAGGCAAGAAGGAGGAGCUGAUCGGCAUCGCCUACAACCGGCUGAUACGGAUGGACGCCAGCACGGGCGACGCCGUCAAAACCUGGCGGUUCACAGUGGAACGUGAACUGGGAGAUUAAAAUGGUGACGGUGGAGUUUGCAGAUGACGUUCGGGUGUCCUUCAUCUGCACGGAGGUGGAUUGCAAAGUGGUUCACGAGUUCAUCGGCGGCUACAUCUUCUUGUCGACGCGAGCGAAAGAUCAGAAUGAGAGUUUAGAUGAAGAGAUGUUCUACAAACUGACCAGUGGUUGGGUGUGAGUCCCAUGUACUGUACACCAAGAGGAAACCCCAUGGCCAUAUAAUAUUUAACUUUAAAAAGCUGUUCUUUGAAAUAUGCUGCUUAAUAAAGUAAGCUUGAAAUGUAUCUUUUUUUUUUUUAAAUGAAAAUUUUUGCAUUACCAGACCAGUUAAUCUGUGUGCACUAAUGAGCACUUCUGUUAAUUUGCUAUAACGAGACCGUAUCUGGGCCAGGUGAUCGUGCCGCUGGCCUUUGGAUACAGAAUCUGAUGGGCAGAUCGGGAUAAGAUUUGACUGACUUAAAAUAGCCGAUUUUCUAAGAGAACUCUAAGCCAUCUUCUUGUAAAGCCAUCCAGGGCUUAACCUAUAUGAAGUCUAUUUAUCAUGUUUAAUGCAUGAGUGUUUUCUUUUUUUUUUUUUUUCUU